RNAcentral lists this ribosomal RNA (490 nucleotides) under uncultured bacterium. RNAcentral describes it as "partial 16S ribosomal RNA". It matches the Rfam family "Bacterial small subunit ribosomal RNA", at positions 28 to 507 of the family's 1533-position model. The record is from RNAcentral.
GAUGAACGCUAGCGAUAGGCUUAACACAUGCAAGUCGAGGGGCAGCAUGGUCUUAGCUUGCUAAGACUGAUGGCGACCGGCGCACGGGUGCGUAACGCGUAUGCAACUUGCCUCACAGAGGGGGAUAACCCGUCGAAAGACGGACUAAUACCGCGUACACUUGGGAUAGGGCAUCCUGACCCAAGGAAAUGAAAUUCGCUGUGAGAUAGGCAUGCGUCCCAUUAGCUAGUUGGUGAGGUAACGGCUCACCAAGGCGACGAUGGGUAGGGGAACUGAGAGGUUGAACCCCCACACUGGUACUGAGACGCGGACCAGACUCCUACGGGAGGCAGCAGUGAGGAAUAUUGGUCAAUGGGCGAGAGCCUGAACCAGCCAAGUCGCGUGAAGGAUGACUGUCUUAUGGAUUGUAAACUUCUUUUAUACGGGAAUAACAAGAGCCACGUGUGGCUCCCUGCAUGUACCGUAUGAAUAAGCAUCGGCUAACUCCGUG